AGAGUUUGAUCAUGGCUCAGAACGAACGCUGGCGGCAGGCCUAACACAUGCAAGUCGAGCGCUUCACUUCGGUGAGGAGCGGCGGACGGGUUAGUAACGCGUGGGAAUAUACCCAGUUCUAAGGGAUAGCGACUGGAAACGGUGAGUAAUACCUUAUACGCCCUUCGGGGGAAAGAUUUAUCGGAAUUGGAUUAGCCCGCGUUAGAUUAGAUAGUUGGUGAGGUAACGGCUCACCAAGUCUACGAUCUAUAGCUGGUUUGAGAGGAUGAUCAGCAACACUGGGACUGAGACACGGCCCAGACUCCUACGGGAGGCAGCAGUGGGGAAUCUUGGACAAUGGGCGCAAGCCUGAUCCAGCCAUGCCGCGUGAGUGAUGAAGGCCUUAGGGUCGUAAAACUCUUUCGCCAGGGAUGAUAAUGACAGUACCUGGUAAAGAAACCCCGGCUAACUCCGUGCCAGCAGCCGCGGUAAUACGGAGGGGGUUAGCGUUGUUCGGAAUUACUGGGCGUAAAGCGUACGUAGGCGGAUUAGAAAGUUAGGGGUGAAAUCCCAGGGCUCAACCCUGGAACUGCCUUUAAAACUCCUAGUCUAGAGGUCGAGAGAGGUGAGUGGAAUUCCAAGUGUAGAGGUGAAAUUCGUAGAUAUUUGGAGGAACACCAGCGGCGAAGGCGGCUCACUGGCUCGAUACUGACGCUGAGGUACGAAAGUGUGGGGAGCAAACAGGAUUAGAUACCCUGGUAGUCCACACCGUAAACGAUGAAUGCCAGACGUCAGCAAGCAUGCUUGUUGGUGUCACACCUAACGGAUUAAGCAUUCCGCCUGGGGAGU
Molecule: ribosomal RNA, 828 nt
Filed under: uncultured bacterium
Lineage: Bacteria
Description: bacterial SSU rRNA
Rfam family: Bacterial small subunit ribosomal RNA
Source: RNAcentral